ACUCCUACGGGAGGCAGCAGUGGGGAAUAUUGCACAAUGGGCGCAAGCCUGAUGCAGCGACGCCGCGUGGGGGAUGAAGGCCUUCGGGUUGUAAACUCCUUUCGCUAGGGACGAAGCUUUUUUGUGACGGUACCUAGAUAAGAAGCACCGGCUAACUACGUGCCAGCAGCCGCGGUAAUACGUAGGGUGCGAGCGUUGUCCGGAAUUACUGGGCGUAAAGGGCUCGUAGGUGGUUUGUCGCGUCGUCUGUGAAAUUCUGGGGCUUAACUCCGGGCGUGCAGGCGAUACGGGCAUAACUUGAGUGCUGUAGGGGUAACUGGAAUUCCUGGUGUAGCGGUGAAAUGCGCAGAUAUCAGGAGGAACACCGAUGGCGAAGGCAGGUUACUGGGCAGUUACUGACGCUGAGGAGCGAAAGCAUGGGUAGCGAACAGGAUUAGAAACCCUAGUAGUCCCAUG
RNAcentral lists this ribosomal RNA (456 nucleotides) under uncultured organism. RNAcentral describes it as "partial 16S ribosomal RNA". It matches the Rfam family "Bacterial small subunit ribosomal RNA", at positions 335 to 799 of the family's 1533-position model. The record is from RNAcentral.